Molecule: long non-coding RNA, 6634 nt
Organism: Dermacentor andersoni
Lineage: Eukaryota; Metazoa; Arthropoda; Arachnida; Ixodida; Ixodidae
Source: RefSeq, a predicted model, not a curated record
CACAUGCCUUUUCUUUCCGCGAAUUCAGGCGCCUAAUUAUAACACAUUCUUGCCUUGCUUCUUGGCUUGCAUAAACAGUGGAGGCGUUCAAUACUUACUGCUUCCUGGCCAAGCGUGUCCUGAUCAAGUUUUUAACUGUGUAAUGACCAAGAGCUCGAGGAACGUUCCUGCCAUUCGGCUGCAGACAAGAUAGAACCCUAGUCGCUGGAACUUGCGCUAGUCUGGAACGGGCAGGCCUGGAACUGGGCGUCAACCGACCCGAUUGGUUUUGCCGCUGUCAACAAACGCCGCAGCAAGUUCAUUUUCCGGUAGCUUACUCGAUUCACCUUCCACCUCAGGGAUGCCGUCGACAAUCAAAUUUCACCUCCCGAGCGAUUUUUCCCUAGUGCUCGAUUCUUUUUCCAAGUGUUCAUCAUACGCCAUUCGCACAAAUCAGGAUUUCGCAAGCAUCAGUGAUCUUUUCUUAGUCAUCAUUAACGAGUGUAAUUUAGUUUCUAUAUCAACCUGUAGCUUGUCCUUCAUAUCGGCAAGUCUCCUAAUGUUCCUUCGCAAUCUGCUUACCUUCUGGUCCUGGGACGGUUUCAAUGUCUCCUCCUGGCGUAAGCUUUUUAAUACACGGUCGUGUCGAUCACAAAGGUGUCCGGGGCCACGCCAGAAGUAGGAAAAACAACCAUCAUGCUGGCAGCGCUGCGACGCCCCGUGACAAUGGUGUUGCCGGUGCGGCCUUUUACAGUUCAGAGGGGUGGUUGCAUCGUCGCGAUAUGUGCAGAGUGGUACACAACUGUAGCUAUUCGUAGUCGCACCGGUUAAUCCGACGAAAGAUGUGGCAGGAAGCAGCUCGUGGCGUUGUGCUCUUGCACAGACCAAGUCUCGUCGAACCGCUCCGCCUUGUCCCACGCACGCAGGUUAAACCCACGCGAACAUUAGCUGCAGAAUGUCUGUGAACGGUUUAAUUGCCACCCGAGGGCUGGUGACGCUGCCAUGUCCAUGCCUUGUUUUUUUUUUUUUUUUUUUCAGAAUCUCUACCUCUGCUUACGAUUGCGGCCCACGUGUAGAAAAGAUAUCCCGUGCUCUGCUCGACGGUUGCUAUCCUCCCAACGUCCCCCUCGGGAGAUGGCCUAGAGCACCACUCCUACCGCGACCGACCGUGACCCCUUGGUCUUGCUGGCAGACGACGUUGCGCAUCGCCCUGCGCUACUACGGAUGCCGACGUGUGCUUUCGAUUGCGGCCCUCAAGAGUUGGAAGAUGAUCCAGUGUCUUCGCAUCAAUCGCAUUCCCUCGCCGGUGAAGUCUUGCUGGUGGACUGGACUUUGUUCCUCGCCCGGCACUACUUCUGGCAAGUACCAUGAACCCUAGAAACGUAGUAUGACUGUGUUCUCGAGUGUUUAACAAGCCUUGCGUGAUUGCAGGUUCCUACAGUCUGCUUUCCGUUGCGGCUAUUCACAAGCAUAUCCAGCGGGCGCUUCUGCACAUCUAGUCUCCAGCCUACGGUACAGAGCUUAACCUCAUCUCUACUCGUCCUAUGGCCGGCUGUUUUACGUCUGCAUUUUUCUCGCCGGUGGCUUCCAACUGGCAGACGGAGAUUCGUUCAUCUCGCUGCCCUACUUCUGACAAGUACCAUAUACUCUCCAAUGGUACUACGGAUGUUUUCUCGUGCGGUGUCCAAGCCCUGUGGCGUUUGAGGUUCCGAACGUCUCUUUUGAAUGAAGCUUUGUUGUGAGAUGGAGCUUUUCCAAUGGCGGCUGUUCCUUUUCUUUCAGUGCUCUUUUCCUUAAUCAUGUUCCUACAUGUUCCCGGUGCGGCAAGCAUACAAACUUUGUGGGCUUCCGGCGAAAUUUGCUGUCGAAUGUAUAAACUCUGCCGGUCCUCGACGUUUGGUUCAUGCUACGGAAAACUUCCUUCGUCACGCCGAUUUUACAAUAGGCUCUUGAAUGUCACUCUCCAUGUAAGACGACGUCGGACUUCAGUUCCUGGUGAUAUUAGGUGACAUCAUUUCCUGACGCAUCAUUUAUUUCGUCUACUCUCAGUGGCAUAUUUUACAGUGCUUUUGUAACUUCACAUGGUCUCUCCUUUAUCGAAGGUUGCCGUCCUAUUCUUCAAUGUCUCCUCCCAGGCUUCUGUUUCCGCCCGUAGGGUCUGCAAGAGCUAAAGGAAUGGGUUCUCUAAGUCCAUCGUGAACUUGCGUUAACAGUUGGUUAUUCUUGACACACUUCGUAUAUUAAGGUAUCUAAUUCUCCAUUGUGCAGUACAUGUCGGCCAAUCGUAUUUCGCAGAUGACUUGAAAAGUACGGACGGGCCUUUAUAAGAAGCCGCCCCCUUACUGUGCUUCAGUAGGUAAUUCCACUUGGUGAUUGGUCACGAACUCUUCAGUUGUUUGGCGACGUAAUGUUGUGACAACAUUCAAUUCCUUAGUUUUCCGGUGUCUUGCGUUGUCGCUGAUCAUUUAUUUUCGAGCUGGGAAGCACCGGAAAGAGUGUAGAAACAGAGCUGAAGAGUCUCCACCAGUUUCGCAGUGUACACCUCUUGUCACGGCGCAUGUGAAAGCUGUUACGCAAUAUGGCAAUGUCUCCUUUCUUUUCUAGUUCGUCCCUGAGCACCAUUGAAACAUAGCCAAACAAUUUCAAACAAUGUGAUAUUCUUUAGUCCAUCGUCAAGAGGAGGUACUUCCUCUUACAAGGUCCUGUAACAUUAUCUUCGCCACACAACGCACUGUCGUAUUACUUAUUUUCGUCCCCUUUGCCCGAAAUCUCGUCGUUAUACGAGUGGGUGUUCCACGUACUCCGUCGUGCAGUUUGCCCAUAUACGUGUCGCACUAACAGUAAAGAUUUCUUCCUUCUAUAUGUGAUCGGUUGCUGCUCGUCUUGUCGUAUAGGCUCUGCCAAAGGUGCCCGUGAAGUGACAUUUGGCAUUUGUUUCUUCUGCUUUUAGUGGACCAUUGAACUUGUCUGCUAAUAUUAUUCACGGAACGAAACAUUCACGCAUUUACCUUCCCAAUAUUCAAGUAAAUCCUGAACCUGUCAACUUCAAUUCCUCGUCUUGAGCUCCUUUUCGACGUGUAUCUAACACGUGAUUCAUCUCCUUCUGUCCUUCCAUUAUCCGGCAUUUUGUAACUGCUAUUCCUUGGUCGGCAUCAACUCGCAUCCCUUCCACAAAAUUAUUCACUACGAAAUCUUUUCUACGGUGCCUCCUGGUUAUAUCUGGUAGAUUUUUCACUACCGAUGACGUGUCCCCAUAGUUCUCCUACUGAGCAAUCCUUGAUUUUUUGUCUGUUCAACUUGUGCUUCAAGCAUUUUCUUUCUCCCAUGCAGCAUGAUUGUACGAGUGGUCCAGUACUUUACUGAUGCUCACAAGUUCUACUUUUGCUAGAAUGACGACGGUAUGCAUUAGAGCUGUUUUUUGUCAGGAUCAGCACUGUCUCCGCUCUGAUAUGACAGUAUUAUGAAUGCUGCACUUGAAUACACCGCCGAGCUUGCAUCCGAUAAAGUGUGUUGCUGUUCCGUUUCAUAUUGUCGAUUUAUUCUGAUUUUCCUGGAUGCAUUCCUCCAUAGAUCAUUUAUCCUCGUCUGGAAGACGGUUGUCCCAACAUAUUUCGAUUAUUCCUCGUUAUUGCAUACCGAUAGCAGAAUACCGUCGGCCGUGACCCAUUUUACUCCUAGAACUCUAGUCUCGCUUGAUCACGUAGGAACGGCGUCUUGAUGCGCAUUAAAAUUCUCAUCACUGGUUGAUGUCUUUCCUAAGAUUCAUUGAAGCUUGGCGAUUUUUUUUGUUCUUGAUUCCUUGUUCAUGCAUUUUCCCUGGUUUUCUUAUGAUGUUCCAAGCAUAACUUCAUCAGUGCAAACCGAAUUACAUUUACUGUCAUUGCAAGCGUUCCUUCGAAAAUUCAUUAUUAUUGUUAGUACACCUGCACUCAAAUCUCCUCCUGCCUUCACCUACACGACGAUCACUACAGUGUUGUUUUUUCAGCUACUUUGCUUUUUCUCGCUGCUGUCUUCUCCGUCUUUCAUUUGCCCUUGCACUUCUCCCAGGGCAGGGAAGCAAACCGGUAUCUCAUCCAGUUUCUCUCCCCUCCUGCCUGAAGGUUAUCAUUCAAAACAUUCUUAAUCCUGACCACGAGGCGUCAAAUACUAGGCUUGCUUUUCUUGUUGGUCUUCUGGCAUUUGCUUGAUGCGACAUAGUAUUUAACAUUGAUCCUUCCGAUCGCGGUCUUUAUGCCAUUUCAAGCGUGAAACCUCUCGCAUUGAACAGCUGUACUUUUCUCUCGGUACUGAAUUUGUCUUCAGCUUUCGGGAUAGUAUUCCAGUUGCUACUACAUUGGUUUCCACGUUCACUUGCUCUCUAUCCUUCUGAACAGUCCUUGUGCAGGAUGUAACUGCAUGGUUCAAUUCAUGUAUCGUUUCUUUCUCAGGAAUUCGGGCAUUAUUGGCCAUAUUCAACUUUUUCUUAGCGUAAUUUUCGUCAGUUCUUCUGUCGUCAAAAACCAUAGUGGAUUUGAGUUUCAAAUUUCUUAUUCUAGACCACAUUUGUAAGGAAAAAUCCAUUCGAGAAUGCUUUCCAUUUUCCAUUCUAUCUUCGUUUCGUCUACGGUCUGCGCUCCAAAACAUUACUUCGGGCACGAGCAUCACCUGCGGCAGGAGCGACUGCAAUUCUACAUUCUCCAGUGGCGUCCUGCUGGUAGACUGGACUUGUCUCCUCGCCCUGCACCACUUCUGGCUCAGCACUCCUGCUUUCUAUUGCGGUCCACGAGGGUACCCAGCGCGCUCCUGCACGACUCUACGGUCUGCGCUCCAAAAGAUUUCUUCGGGCACGAGCAUCCCCUGUGACAGGAGUGACUGCUAGUCUACAUUCUCUUGCCAGUGGCGUCCUGCUGGCAGACUGGACUUAGCCUGGCGCGCUUGCACUUAAUUCUGGUUCCCAGUGUUUGCUGUCGCUUGUGGCGGGAGGGAAAUGUUACAGCACGAUCAUUCGCAAGACUCCUGGCCUUACCUCAAGAGCGACUAUCUUCAGCCCGAUCGUCCUGCCCCAGAAUCCAUACAGCACGCUUCCUCAUACUCGUGAAGGCGUCGCACGCCUGUCUUGGCGGUGUCCUGCACUGUGCUAACGACGUGUUCAUGUUCUCAAGGACUGCGUCUCGUCGCCGUCCCGCGACCGUCCAUCGGAUGUGCUCCUACAGUUCUUCGAUGUUGCCUUUUUCCGCAGGCAUAUGUAACAGAUUUAGUGUGGCAAGCUUUUCUGCUUUGGAAGAGUGGUACGCUGCUCAGCGAAUAGAUGGUGCUUCUAGGAAUCGGGUUAAUACGAAGCAGAGCAGUAAAAAGGUCUGGUUACAUGGACACCACUCAGUCAGUAAUAAGGAUUGUCGAUGUAUUAAUGAGCCGAUCUGCAAAUUUUUGGUGGCGAGAGUAAUGGACAUUCAUUCACAUUGUGCACUUUCGUAGUGUGUGUGUGUGUGUGUGUGUGUGUGUGUGUGUGUGUGUGUGUGUGUGUGUGUGUGUGUGCGCGCGCGCACACACACGCACGAUCAUUCGUCGAUCAGUCGCCUUACUCCUGUGUUCCUUUUGUUCGGUCGAGAACGUAUGACAUGAGCUCCACUGGUAUACUCGGUGCACUUCGAAUUUUUUAUAUUUCGGUAGCCUUUCCAGCGUCCCAGUUGGUGCUUCAUUUUUGCUCUUUCAUUCCUGUUGAAAAGUUCCUGGUUUCAUGGUUUACUAUCGUCUAUGGACAUCCGCUUGGUUGACACGCUCGUUUCUUUGGCUUUGGUCCUCGGGUUGGCCUCGGUGCUCAUUUCCGCAUUCAGCGGAUUUGUUCAGGCGUCUUUCUCGUGCCAGAAACGGUCUUCACACAUUCUCGGUUCUUCCACGUCGCUCGUCACGGACUAGAAAAGAUGAACAUACCACUACAAAAGGACACAAUGCCAAUGAAUGGGAAAGGGGAGGGUGGUUAUUCUCGCCAACAAAAAUUUCCUGAUUUGCUCAUGAUAAUGACGUGCAUCUUUAAGACUGGUUGCUGGGAAAUGUCACCGGGUUCGCUGUUUCUUGUUUUUUUGGUGAUAACUAAUUAAAUUCUUUCAUGAAUCUACAUGGUCCAACUUAUGUAUUGCCUGCCGUUUGUUUAUCGGACAGUGCUACCCGCUGUCGUCGCUUGUUCACCGCGUAUACUGCGCCGUUGUUUGAUAUAUUUGUGUGCACAACUAUCGCGUACCCUGCAAGGUCGGUAGGAAUACUGAAGCGUCAUGGUACCCUUGACGCAGCUGUGACGUCGCUGCCCGCUGACUGUAGUUACGCACAGUUGUCCAAUUUCGUGAUUAAAGCACACCGCGUGAGCCAUUGUCAAACAGCUGCUUCGAAGGGGCUACAUGUACUCCCCCGACGCCAUGUGUAGACAUGUAUAGGCAACUGUGCUAUCUAAAUCCCGGUAUGUAUUUGAUAUGUAUUCCUGUACAAAUGCAUAAAUGUAUGUUUGUAUGUUAAUGCACUAUAUGCUGCUGCUUGCAACAUCUUGAAAUCGUCAGCUAGCAUUGAAUCGCUUUUAUUUCGUUUACUGAAGUCGUGUUUUGCGCUGUUUGUGCUGAGCAUGCAUUGCAAUAAACUGCACGUUGCCCCCAAAUAUUCUGUCAAAAUAAAACUUCUUAUUCCUGUU